GAAGUGGCAUUUAUCGGGCAGAGAAGCGGCGAGCCAUUAAAAUGGCGGCAAAUUGACGAAAUAUCGAAGGACACAACAUCGAAGAUAAAAUACACUGCACUGUUUCAAAAGUGGAUGAAACCUUCUUUGAAAUCUUCUUCAGCCAUUUAUGAUUAUGCAAAAGUACAAUAACUGGAUGAUACUUGCGAGAUUCGGCGAUAAAAAGCCAACAAGCUAAGACGACAAAAUAUGGCUGAAAUCGUGUUUUCGUGGGGGG
Molecule: non-coding RNA, 256 nt
Organism: Paramuricea clavata
Lineage: Eukaryota; Metazoa; Cnidaria; Anthozoa; Malacalcyonacea; Plexauridae
Source: the annotation of a GenBank genome assembly